This 259-nucleotide RNase P RNA is filed under the name Comamonadaceae bacterium. RNAcentral's name for it is "partial RNase P RNA component class A". It matches the Rfam family "Bacterial RNase P class A", at positions 67 to 367 of the family's 367-position model. Rfam says of the family: Ribonuclease P (RNase P) is a ubiquitous endoribonuclease, found in archaea, bacteria and eukarya as well as chloroplasts and mitochondria. Its best characterised activity is the generation of mature 5'-ends of tRNAs by cleaving the 5'-leader elements of precursor-tRNAs. The record is from RNAcentral. Lineage: Bacteria; Pseudomonadati; Pseudomonadota; Betaproteobacteria; Burkholderiales; Comamonadaceae.
CAGCGCAGGAGCUAACGGCUCUCCACCGUGAGGUGAGGAUCAGAGCAACAGAGACGAGCCGAUUCAGUUCGGGUGAAACGGGCAAUCUCUGCGCGCAGCAACACCAAGUAGGCCGGUAUUGAGGUGGUUCCGCUGAGCCGGCGGGUAGGUGGCACCGAGCCGUGUGGGCGACCCACGGCCCAGAUGAAUGACGGUCACGCGGCGGCGCUCGAAAGGGCGCCGGCGUGCACAGAAUCCGGCGUAUCGGCGCGCUUCACAC